AACGAACGCUGGCGGCAGGCUUAACACAUGCCAGUCGAGCGCCCCGCAAGGGGAGCGGCAGACGGGUGAGUACCGCGUGGGAACGUACCUUUUGGUUCGGAACAACUCCGGGACACUGGAGCUAAUACCGGAUAAGCCCUAACGGGGAAAGAUUUAUCGCCGAAAGAUCGGCCCGCGUCUGAUUAGCUAGUUGGUGAGGUAACGGCUCACCAAGGCGACGAUCAGUAGCUGGUCUGAGAGGAUGAUCAGCCACACUGGGACUGAGACACGGCCCAGACUCCUACGGGAGGCAGCAGUGGGGAAUAUUGGACAAUGGGCGCAAGCCUGAUCCAGCCAUGCCGCGUGAGUGAUGAAGGCCUUAGGGUUGUAAAGCUCUUUUGUCCGGGAAGAUAAUGACUGUACCGGAAGAAUAAGCCCCGGCUAACUUCGUG
RNAcentral lists this ribosomal RNA (431 nucleotides) under uncultured bacterium. RNAcentral's name for it is "partial 16S ribosomal RNA". It matches the Rfam family "Bacterial small subunit ribosomal RNA", at positions 29 to 507 of the family's 1533-position model. The record is from RNAcentral.